This is a long non-coding RNA of Prosopis cineraria, 1917 nucleotides long. RefSeq lists it as uncharacterized. NCBI's taxonomy places the organism in Eukaryota, Viridiplantae, Streptophyta, Magnoliopsida, Fabales, Fabaceae. The transcript has 5 exons. The record is from RefSeq and is a predicted model, not a curated record.
GUUGUGGUGGGGUGUCCCUCUGGUUUUCUUUCCACUUCUUCUCCGCCGACGCUUGGCCUUCCAUGGCUUCCGAUCUUGAGGCCAAAGCCAAAAGAGGCUUUUGUCAAUGAGUACUAUGAGCUUGCCGUUGACCUCCUCACUCAAGCCAUUGGCAUCAACUCUAGCGCCGAGCUCUAUGUGGAUUGGACCCAGGCUAGCAUCAAACUCUGCAACUAUCCAUUAUCAAAAUUCCUCGAAUUACAAUCUUCUUCCUCUAUCGUAAGACGAGUCCAUAAUCGCUUAGUGGGAUCAAGCUCUUCACCAUGGCAUUUGACUGAAGAAGAAGAAGAACAAGGAACCACCCAUUGUCAAAAUUCCUCGGAUGACAACGGUGACGACAGAAAAGCCUCUGCAGCUGCUCACCCUUCACUUUGACAGAUCUAUGUUUGAUCUUCCGCCGCUCUUGAAGUUCCUUCUACAUUCGACGCCUUCUGCCUUCUCCCAGUUUCCUUGCCGCUCGGCAGUCGGUGUGUUUAUGAUUGGCGUUGCUUCAUUUUGUGAUAAAUUUCGACCACCCUGUUCCCAGGCUUUAUAUCCAAUACAAGGUAAGACUUGUAUUUUUUGCUUUAUUUUAUGAAUCAUUUACUCUCUAUGUAUAUUGUUUCUUAAUGUUGUCAGGACCCCAAGUUUGGACAAACAGACCAUUAUUUGAAAUAAUGGUCCGUACAGCUGCUAAUGAUGUUUGCUUUCUUCUCUACAUUUGUCAUCGGAUGAUGGAGAAAUUAAAUGGGCGGUCUCUAUGGUGUCUUAUAGUUCGUGGUACCCUCUGUUGUCGAUGCUUUUGUGUCAACAGAAAUGAUUAUGCUGACUGGCCAUCUCUACCUGCUAUUCCAGGUAAUGGUAUGAUUUGAUGGUUAAGGUGUUUUCAAGGUGAAAUGGUUUCAAUAUGUUCAGAGUUUCUAGACACAGGAACAGACAACUGCUACUGCAUUACAAUGGACUCUGGCAAGUUUGGUGAAGUACCCACAAAUUCAACAUAGGCUUGUGGAUGAAACAAGAGAUGUAAUGGUUGAGAGAGAGAACAAGGAAGUGAGAGAAGAAGAUCUGAGCAAAAUGCCACAUGCUGUGUCAAAGGACAAGGUGUAAAACAAUUACUUGGUGCCCAAGAAUGGGUCUUUGAAUUUUAUGGUGGCAGAGGUGGGGUGGGACCCAGAAGGUGUGGGAGAAUCCAAUGGAGUUCAAGCCUGAGAGAUUCUUGAGCACCGAGAAAAAUAAUGAUAAUAAUGGUGAAACAUUUGAUAUUACAAGAAGUAGAGAGAUAAAGAUGAUGCCUUAUGGUGUUGGGAGAAGAAUGUGUCCAGGUUAUGCAUUAGCGCCGCUCCAUUUGGAAUUCUAUGUGGCCAAUCUUGUAUGGAAAUUCGAAUGGAAAGCUUGUGACGAUGUUGAUUUGUCAGAGAAAGAAGAAUUUACUGUGAUAAGUUGAUAGAUGAUGAAGAUAUUCCUAAGGGAGAAAUCCCUUUGGUUCUUGAUGUUCCCUAAGGAAAGAUGGGACGUGUUAUUGGGAGGAAAGGGACCACAAUUUUGUCAACUAGGGAGUCCUACAAUGUGGAAAUUCUCAUUGGAGGUGCAAAGGGCCCACCUAACAAAGUGGCAAUUAACCAUCCUCUAUUAAUUGUGGCUGCUGCAUUACAAUUGUCAUGGUUCACCUUAUUGGUUGAAGCUUUAGGUUGAAGGGUCCACUUGCGUAUCAAAGCUUGAAAGCCUUCCUAAACAAUGGUUUGUUGGCUGAAUGUUGAUGUUUAUAUUGGCGAAAACUGAAGGUCCAGGUUGGGAUGUGCCUAAAGAAGAAAAGAUGGUAGAACAUCUGUGGCCAAUAAAACCAGACAAUUAUUAUACAAAAGUGUAAUAAGAAUGUUUGGAAAGUUAUUUUAGCACAAC